Molecule: non-coding RNA, 122 nt
Filed under: Paenibacillus sp.
Lineage: Bacteria; Bacillati; Bacillota; Bacilli; Caryophanales; Paenibacillaceae
Description: Glycine sequence
Rfam family: Glycine riboswitch aptamer
About the family: This family represents the bacterial glycine riboswitch. Glycine riboswitches usually consist of two metabolite-binding aptamers domains with similar structures in tandem.
Source: RNAcentral
AUGAUGGUGCAGGGAGAGAUUGCCGGGCGGGACCGCGGGCAGCGCGGACCGGUCUAGGCGGCGCCGAAGGAGUAAGCUGCGGAGGCAGUGAAUCUCUCAGGCAAAAGGACUUGCACCGGACG